UCCUUCACAGUUGCGGAAAUAUCAAAAACUGACGCCACAAUUUAGAUUCCUCUCCCUCACUCUCCCUCUCUCAUUUUCUUGUCUUUGUUUACACGCGUUCGUUCUCUUCAGGCUUUUAGCUUUUAGCUCAGCUAUAUCUAUCUGUGCUCUCCGCUCCCUUCAACCUAGCUUAAGGCUGCUAUGGUGAAUGCGACUGGUAACGAGUCAUCAGAUGAAGGGCAGGAUGCUGAGGCCCUUGGAAGACUACCUGUACUUUACUAUGGUGUAGGUCAUAUGCUGAAUGAUAUUACAUCAGCUUGUUGGUUCACGUAUUUGCUGUUGUUCUUGACCGACAUAGGGUUAAGUCCAAGGACCUAGCAACUAGGAUGAAGAUUGGUUCGGGGCAUGAGAGAGGAGG
Molecule: long non-coding RNA, 397 nt
Organism: Asparagus officinalis (garden asparagus)
Lineage: Eukaryota; Viridiplantae; Streptophyta; Magnoliopsida; Asparagales; Asparagaceae
Exons: 3
Source: RefSeq, a predicted model, not a curated record